AUACGGAGGGGGUUAGCGUUGUUCGGAAUUACUGGGCGUAAAGCGCACGUAGGCGGAUUAGUAAGUUAGUGGUGAAAUCCCAGGGCUUAACCCUGGAACUGCCUAUAAUACUGCUAGUCUUGAGUUCGAGAGAGGUAAGUGGAAUUCCUAGUGUAGAGGUGAAAUUCGUAGAUAUUAGGAGGAACACCAGUGGCGAAGGCGGCUUACUGGCUCGAUACUGACGCUGAGGUGCGAAAGCGUGGGGAGCAAACAGGAUUAGAAACCCCAGUAGUCC
Molecule: ribosomal RNA, 274 nt
Filed under: uncultured bacterium
Lineage: Bacteria
Description: partial 16S ribosomal RNA
Rfam family: Bacterial small subunit ribosomal RNA
Source: RNAcentral